CCUACGGGCGGCAGCAGUGGGGAAUAUUGCGCAAUGGGCGAAAGCCUGACGCAGCGACGCCGCGUGAGGGAUGAAGGUCUUCGGAUCGUAAACCUCUGUCAGCAGGGAAGAACGGUCACUGUGCUAAUCCGCAGUGAAUUGACGGUACCUGCAAAGGAAGCACAGGCUAACUCCGUGCCAGCAGCCGCGGUAAUACGGCGGGUGAGAGCGUUAAUCGGAAUUACGGGGCGUAAAGCGCUCGUAGGCGGUAGGUCAAGUCAAGGGUGAAAGCCCCGCGCGCAACGUGGGAAGUGCCUUUGAUACUGGCAAACUGGAGUGUGUGUGAGGAGAGUGGAAUGCGAGGUGUAGGAGUGAAAUGCGUAGAUAUCU
Molecule: ribosomal RNA, 369 nt
Filed under: uncultured bacterium
Lineage: Bacteria
Description: partial 16S ribosomal RNA
Rfam family: Bacterial small subunit ribosomal RNA
Source: RNAcentral